Long non-coding RNA from Pseudophryne corroboree (corroboree frog), 930 nucleotides. RefSeq lists it as uncharacterized. The record is from RefSeq and is a predicted model, not a curated record. The transcript has 5 exons. Lineage: Eukaryota; Metazoa; Chordata; Amphibia; Anura; Myobatrachidae.
CAUCGCGAUCACUGAAGCUGCUGCUGCAUGGAGCUCUCGUCGGGGCAGAGCUCAGGCUUCACAGUAGCCAAUGCCGGCCCGACGCAUACGCGCAGUAUGCGGCAGCGUACAGCGCCAGACUCAGGAGGGAGCUGCUCUACUGCAGAGUGUGAGUGACCGUCCGUCACUCAUGCUCUACACCGCCGCGGCCACCCGCUCACCAGCACCUAUCCGCUCUCCUGCCCGCUGGCCCAGGACACAGAAAGCACAGACUGAGCACAGCACAGCUGUGUGUCCUCCUGGCUCCCAGCCCUCCCGCGAUGCAGGGAAACAGGGGGAAGCCGGAGACUGACAGUGCAGCAUUUGGUGACGAAGAGGGAGCUGGAGCUGCACUAUAACAGAGAAGAAAAGAAUUGUUCCACCCUCAUGAAGGUCUGCGCCUAGAUUUUGAAGAAAAUGUAUGAGUUUGCAGUAUGUGGCUGGGACGCACGGUGAGUUGUAGGUGGUGGACCCUCUAAGUGGCUGUAUGUAAUAAUACUGUGCUAUGGAAUAGAGAACUCCCAGCACAGUAUUGGGGUGAAAAUCAUUCUUACCUUUUGGAAUAUCACAGACCAUAGCCGACAUUCGUCCACUAUCAAUGAGGAAGCCAAUGGGCACAUUCCAUCCCGAAGACUUCUGUAAACCUGUGUGACAAGACUUAGUGCCCUUCAGACUGUUUAUGGUGAUAUUAGAGUUCUUCCAGACAACAGCGACAGCAUAAUAUGAGGUCCCCACACCUGUCAAUCAACAUCAAUAAAUGGUGCACCAUCUGAUUCCAUUCAGGCAAAAAACUGGAAAAAAAGAAUCAAUACUUAAAACGAUUUAACAAGCUCAUUCAUUAAUGGCAAUGUUGUUACAUUUUAUAAAAUCAGGUUGCCAUCAUUUAAAAUUCUGAAUAAAUACAUUUAUAAA